CUAGUAAAUAUGCCCGUGCGUUGCAACGGGAAAUAAAUAAAUCCUUGUACAUCAGAAGUUCACUGAAAAUAAGAAAAAUAAUUUGUUUGUGUAAGUAUGAUUGUAUAAUAUGUUCAAUGAAUUUGUAAUUAAUAACAUUGAGAAUUUCUAUGUAGAAUUACCUAACACAAUAGCACUAUGUAUUGUCUGCUUCAAAUUUUAUAUGAAGUAAAACAGGGUUCAUGUCAACCCAUAGCUGUCAUCGCCAAACAGAUGCAUUGCUCGCUCCCAUGACAAUGUACCAUCGCCACACAAAUGCAUUGUUCCAUCCAAUGACCAUCUGCCAUGGUUGCAACAUGCUGCGUGCAAGUUCUAUCGCCUCCUCACCUCCAAAAAUACAAAAGAAAGUAUCCCCAUCUCAAAUCUCAGUAGCCAUGGGCAGCUGCAGUAAGUACUUGAAACCAAAAUACAACACAGGAAGGUGGAACAGUCUUUGUGGAGACAAAACGAAUAUCCCUAGGAGCUUCUGGUAUGGUAAGAAAAAAGACUAUCAAACCAAACAAAUUUUAUUACAGUAGAUUUCAAGAAGAAAUAUAAAUCCAAACCUUGAUUACAGAAGCUUUCAAGAAAAAAAAAACAUAAAUCACACGACAUUGAAAGAUACUAUCCAUGGGAAGGGUUCAGUUCUACUGCAAGACAAGACUGAAUCAGAGACAGAUCAGACCAUGAGAAGGUUUAGUUCCACUUCAAGACAGAACACUGAAAGAUAUUGUCCAUGAGAAAUUCCAAACAUCGGCUCAUACUCCAGUUUGUCCUCCUACCGUUCCACACCUUGCUUCCCCAAGCCGCAGCCACAAAGGUAGAAUAGCAUAUGAACUAAUUUUUCAGUAUACAAGAGCAAAAAAAAUCCUAAUACUACUCAGCGUUAUCUAAUAAGAAGAAGAAAAAACACAUAUGAAUACCUAGUAUAUUAACUAAACCUAGCGAUUCCAAAGAGAAUAACAUAUGAACUACACUUUUCAGUAUACAAGAGAAAAAGAAAGAGAACCCUAAUACUACUUAGCAACAUCAAGAAGCAAACCUUGCUGGAUCAUGUGUACGACGAGGUCAAGAGUAUUUGUUAUUGUUCAGCUCAGCGAUUUUCUUGUUCAGCUUGACGAGAUCGGGCUCUGUACUUGUUCAGCUCGGUGAAAUCAGGAUUCAAAUCCUGCGAAAACAAGAUAUCCCCAUGGCAACUUUUAAGUUUAGCUUCAACCGCUCUAAUACAUAAAUUGGAAAAAAAGUGAAGGAAUUUUUGUCGAACCUGGAGUUCUUGUCGAACUUACCAGGGUUUUUUUCCCGAUUCGAGCUGUUCCGGUCCGAAGCUGGUGUCUUCAUUUGAUUGGAUUCCGAUUCCAACUCGCUACGUGUGGAUGAACCAUCGGUGAUGCCAUGAACGUCGACCAAAGCGGCGGCGUCGGCUUGCGACAGCAAGGCGCGGGAGGAGGCGGAGACUGCUCCACUGAGUGUCGAUGCUGCGCGCGGCCCGAGAGGAGGAGGCGCAGACUGCUCCAUUGAGCGUCACGCUGUACGCGAGACGCGAGACGCGAGGAGCGGCAGCGCUGCGAGACAGCGGCGGCGGCGCGCGCGGGAUGGAAGCGGUGAGCACUGGCACUAAGACUGGAGGAACGGUGGCGCGGCGCGCGGCAUGGUUCCACGAGACAGGAGCAACGGCGGCGCGAGACAGAAGCGUUGCGUCGGCGGCGCGGGGAGACGACGGGACGAGAAGUGUUGCGGCAUCGGUGUGGGCAGCGACGUGAGGAAGUGGGCCAGUGCCUUGCUCGUGAGUGAGUGGGCCGGAUGGGCUAGAUUUGAAUGGGCUGGACGAAGAAAAAUACCAGAAAUUUUGUCUCUUUCGUCGUCUCCAUCGCGUUCGAUUCGUGGUUGUCGUGGACUCGGAGAGAGGAGAGGCAGAAAAAAAAGGCAGACUGAAAUUUUACCUCUUUAUUAAUAGGUAUAGAUA
This 1981-nucleotide long non-coding RNA is filed under the name Sorghum bicolor (sorghum). RNAcentral describes it as "long non-coding RNA (SBIC_LNC002071)". Lineage: Eukaryota; Viridiplantae; Streptophyta; Magnoliopsida; Poales; Poaceae. The record is from RNAcentral.